AUGAAUUUAAAAAAGGAAAAAAAAAAGAUUUAAUGGGUUUUUGUAGAAUCCAACGCCAACCAAAAAUUACAAUCCUCACACUUAAAUAUCAAAUAUAAACAAAAUAACAAAGCCAGAGGCGAAUCACAGAAGCAGUGAGGAAUUUUUGUGAUAACAAAUUUCUCUCAAAUCCCAAGAUUGCUUGCUCUGGAAAUUGGUUCACGUAUCAGUAAACAUGCGAUUCAGGAAAGGCAGUAAAGUGGAAGUGCUAAGCAAAAAGGAGGCGCCUUCGGGCUCCUGGCAUUCUGCUGAGAUUAUGUCUGGCAGUGGUCACUAUUAUACUGUUAGAUAUGACAAAUUUGAGGGUGGCAGUAAUCAAACUGUUGUGGAGAGGGUAUCGCGUAAGGCUAUCAGGCCUUGUCCACCUACUCAGGAAGUUUUGGAAAAUUGGGUUCCCGGUGACGUUGUGGAGGUAUUUAAUGACCGUUCUUGGAAAAUGGCUACGGUUUCUGAGGUUUUGGGGAAGAAAAACCAUUUGGUCAGAUUACUUGGAUCUUCUUGUGAAUUUAAGGUCAACAAAUUUGACAUUCGGGCAAGAAGGUCUUGGCAAGAUGACAAAUGGGUUUUGGUGCACAAGAAAUCUUGCAAUCUUGGUGAUGAUAGCAAAGAAGAUGAGAAUGCAAGCCCUGGUUUUCAUGGUCUGAGCUCCCAAAUUCAGAAUUGCCAAAACGCUUCUAACUUCGAGAGCCGCAAAAGGGGAUCAAACUAUGAGUAUUCUCAAGCUGAAUCAAUGGCUAGAGCUGCCUUGAAAUGUAGGGUGUUGAAGAAAAAGCGAAGAUAUCAUGGAGUGGUUGCUGGAAAUCCUUCCACGUUGCACAGGCAUGUAAAAUCAAUUGCUAUCCAAAGAGGUAUGCUAGGGGAAAAUUUUGGAGGUGCUUCUUUGGAUCGAACCGACAUUUAUGAAAUGAACAGUGAUAGGAAGAAACUAAUGGGUGUAGCUUACCAAUCUCUUCAAGAAAGAAUUGAACUAAACGAUGCUGAUAGAGCUACAUGCUCUGUUGGCAGUUGCAGUGUCUCUAACAGUGACGACCGCGGGUUACCUUUUCAUGUUUCUAUUGGUCGCAAUGAAGAUACGGAUGGUUCUAGAAGUGAUGCUGAAUCUUUUUGUCAUUUGGGAUAUGGAACAGGCAAUUUUCUUCUAUCCAGAGACAAACCAUUGGAAGCUGAAAUCCAUAGAAUCUAUCCUGUGAUAGCUUAAUCAUCAUUGUACCACUUGGAACUCUGAGAAAUUUCACUUGAGAACACUGUUGAUGCAUUUGUUCCAGUGUUGAAGUUGGGGGCUUUUGCGCGCCACACUUCUAAUGUUUAUAUGGGUUAUUGCAUCCAUUCAACUAAGGACAUGCUUGAGCCUGACAUCCUUCCUUCUGUGGAGGAUUAGACUCUUCUUCAUGUUUGGGGCUGACCUCUCUUCUUAAUGGUUGAAACAAAGGUCUGUCAAAUUUUCACACGAAACUAUACAAUUAAGUAACAGUCUUUUAGUUUUUUCAUCUAUUAUACUUUAAUUCAUUGAAGUUUGCUGCAUGUCUCUGUCACCAGGAGAUCCUCAUGAUAAAAUCUUUAAAGAAGAAAGAGAGAAAGAGAGAAAGAGAGAAAGAGAGAAAGAGAGAGAAGCAAGCCUAGAAUCAUUUCAUUUGACAUUUUAAAGUUAAAUUAUAAAACGUAUGGAGUGAAAGCACAAAUAACUUGAUCUUGAUGUUUUAUUUAGAUCUUUUAGGCAACUUGUUACUUUGAUGUUAUAGCGUUGAAUGUUUUGAUGGGUAGGAGAGAAAGGGCAUAUUUGUUUCCCUCAGGAAUCUGUUCCGUGGGGGAACAGGAACCUCUAAGAUUAUUUAGUUUUUUUUUUUUUUGCUAGUUUAGUGGUCCUGCGAAGUGGGAACUCCAAUUUCCCUGAAGCUGCUUCAUUUUGGAAUUGUCUAUUUGGAACAUUUUCAAAUUUUCAGCAGUAAAACACAAUGUUCUGUACAUAUUUUGGAGGUAUCAAAACUCCUUAUCUGCCAUUGUUUCACUGACCCUCUUGACAUUGCCAACUGUCAAAAGUCUGAUAAGGGCCUCAUGUACAGUAUUAUAAAUCACGGCAUUUGAUUGUGUCUGAAUAGGGACCAAGCUACUGAUAGGAUAAACUUGUGAAAUGCUUGUCUUUUAUGUUUUUAAUUCUUCAGGUGAUUACUCAAGGAACUUCAUAGUUUUCAUAGGAUUAUACCUCUUCUUGAUGUAGCAUCAGUUUAUAUAUAUAUAUAUACACAUAAUGAUUGAGGCAAACAUCUUACAGAGAACAUAUACUAAAGGCGAAAGAAACUGACAAUUUUUAGGUAUCUUUUAUGAUCACAUCCUCAGGUUUCUGAAAUGGAUAUCUGCACUGCACAUCAUGUUCACUGUUCUAUGUACACCACUGGUUAUGGAGCUACAAUUCAGUCUUCAAUUAUGAAUGAUCAUUCUUCAUGGUAUUAAUUUAAAAAGUUCUUUGUUACAACGACGGAUCUAUUUCUCUUUGAUGAACAUGUUGACUAAAAAGUCAACAACUCCCUAUUGGGGGGAGCAGUAGGGGGGUGAAUUUCCCACCCUAGUUAAUUUGUACAAUGCAAUAGUUUAUUUCUUGUUUUUAAAUUUGCAAAUAUGAAUUAAAUAAUGACCACUAGACAACCUCACAUAAUAGGUACAUGAUCCAGGUAACAUAAAAUAGAAUUGAUGGAUUCUGUUUCUUCCUUCUUAUCCAAUGCAUACAUAUGUUAUUUUCAUGAGAGUAAAAAUAGGUUAAUUUUAGAAGGCUUGAUAGUGUUUUUAUGUGCAUCCUGCAGACAUAUCAUACUCUAGAGAUGUAUAGUUCCAGCUCGGCGUUAAAGCCAGUGUAGAACUUGUCUCAAAGCUGUGGGUGGAUUUCCCCUCAUGCUCCUCAAUUGCUUUCAGAUGCAUAAAGAGUGAGCCUUGCUCUAUAACUAUCAUGCUUAUUGGAACGUUUGAAUCCAAAAAAGCCUCAUCUCAUCAUUAAUUCUUUUGUUUUACUUUCUUAAUUAGUCUUCAUUUCAUUUCACUGACUCCUGUGCCUGAUCAUGCCUGCUUUUUUAGACGAAUUAGCAGAACUACUGUUCACAUUCAUUUUACUUUCUUUUUUUGGCUUUAAUGUCCAUAGAUUUCUCCAUUUUUGUUCUUCAUCUUCACUUGACUUGAAAUUUGGCACUAUUGCUUGACCCCCAAUAUUUGAUAGCAAGGAAAAUUCAGAAUCCUGAGUGGAUUUUUGUUCCAUGGUCGAUUCUUUUAGGAAGAGCAUUGUACUGGCUGUUUACUGUUGUAGUGUUGUGUGAGGUAUAUUACAAGAACGCAACCUUUGUUUCUCAAUUAUUCUGCUUUCUGUUUCAAAAUUUGCCUGCAUAAAAACAAAAACAAACAGGGUUUUUUUUGGCAUUGAUUGGUACUGAUGGGGCAUCUUCUUGUUUGUCUUUCUAUUUUAUAUACUGAAUUGAUCUGAAACAGUUUGUUCACUGUAAUGGCUAGAUAAAUUGUGGUUAAGGUAAAAUCUAUUGUUCGACCUAAGAAUCUUCUGAAGUUUUCAUGUGAGUUAGUUACAGAAUCGAGGGCUUAAAAAUAAGUUUAAAUAUGGUUUUUGUGGCUGAAUAUUUAAAAUUUUGAUCUUUGUCCUUAAAUUUUUUACUUCUAUUUUUAUUCUUUUAGCUUUUGAAGCUAUUUUAGGCCCUACCAUAAAAGCUUACCUUCAGUCCCUGCCACAAAAGGGAAUGUAGAUGUGGCAUAUGGAUACAUGACGUGUUAUAUCAUGUUUCAAUAGAAGGACUUGAGUAUUGAAAUCAGAAUUGUAAAAGUUGAAUGGCCAAAAUGAAAAUAGAUAAAGUUUAGGGACUAGAAUCAAAAUUUUAAAAGUUUAGGGAUAAAACUAGAAAAAAAAAAUCCAAAACUAUAUCUCUAAAACUAUAAAGAAAACAUUUUGAUAGUAUCCAACAUUGAAUGUUAGAAGUAGGUGACAUUUAAAGAAUAUGAAAUUGAAUAUGAAGAACCACAAUGCCUAACUAUCCAACAAGAUAGUAAAAACCCCACUAAGUUUUGUUGGGCCAGCAGGUCUAGUCGAAUCAAUGCAUUGUUUGUAAUAGUAAUAGCAAUCCAUCUUACAACCAAGUCUAUUGUUCCACUCUAAGAAAGUCAUACUUUUGAACUCAAAAUCUCUUGCUGUUUAAUUUCUUAUGUCCUCUCCUUCAACAGCAGCUUUUUAGUGGAAAACUUCUUCAACCCAUAUGAUAAAUGCUUCUCCACUAAUGGUACAGUUUACCCCAUUUGAUGGAGUUUUUGUUUUCUAUCCCCCCUCCCCCCAAAAAACACUAUUUCUCUGAUGUUAUAAGGUCUUACUUGAAUAGGUUCUAUUCUAUACGUUGUACACGGAGAUGGGUUCUUGCGAUUUCAUGUUUAUAGAGAAAACGAAGGCCGUGUACCGAUACGGCCAAAGUCUCUUUGUUUGGUUGGUCUGUGUAAAUUAUAAGCAGUCAAAAGAAGGGGUAAAUGAGAUGGGUAGAAAGGAAGAGGGAAAGAGAGUAGGAAUAAGGAUUGGCACAUGGGAGUUGGGUGAGUUAUAGUUAAAUCACAUCUUUUCAUGUUUAUUUGGAAGGGAAAGGGAAAAAAAGUUGAUUCUGGGUUGGAAAAAGGUUCUGUUUAGAAACAGGGAAUUGGGUUGCCAGAGGCUUAGCUGUAGGCUAUGCAGGUGGAAUUGUCAUCCAGUUAACAAACAGAGCUCCAAGUUUUGGCAAAAAUGAGCAGUGCAUUUAUGUGGCUCCACGAAAUCCUCUCCUGUUGUCUCGUUUGCACCUCUUCAUGAUUGCUAUUCCCAUGUGAUUUUGCCUCCCACACUCUUAGACACAGAAAGUAAGAGAGAGAGAGGGGAGGCUCUGUUGUAUUGUAUAUACAUAUAGGAUCUUCAUUUCAGUGAUCUGUUGUGGAAAAUGAUCUUGAAUAAUCAAGUGAUUUGUUAUGAAAGUAUUGGUAUUGUCUUGAUGAUC
This is a non-coding RNA of Momordica charantia (bitter melon), 5033 nucleotides long. NCBI's taxonomy places the organism in Eukaryota, Viridiplantae, Streptophyta, Magnoliopsida, Cucurbitales, Cucurbitaceae. The record is from RefSeq and is a predicted model, not a curated record.